RNAcentral lists this ribosomal RNA (491 nucleotides) under uncultured bacterium. Its description in RNAcentral is "bacterial SSU rRNA". It matches the Rfam family "Bacterial small subunit ribosomal RNA", at positions 28 to 506 of the family's 1533-position model. The record is from RNAcentral.
GAUGAACGCUAGCUGCAGGCUUAACACAUGCAAGUCGAGGGGAAACGAUAUCGGAAGCUUGCUUCCGAUAGGCGUCGACCGGCGCACGGGUGAGUAACGCGUAUCCAACCUGCCCACCACUUGGGGAUAACCUUGCGAAAGUAAGACUAAUACCCAAUGAUAUCUCUAGAAGACAUCUGAAAGAGAUUAAAGAUUCAUCGGUGAUGGAUGGGGAUGCGUCUGAUUAGCUUGUUGGCGGGGUAACGGCCCACCAAGGCAACGAUCAGUAGGGGUUCUGAGAGGAAGGUCCCCCCACAUUGGAACUGAGACACGGUCCAAACUCCUACGGGAGGCAGCAGUGAGGAAUAUUGGUCAAUGGGCGAGAGCCUGAACCAGCCAAGUAGCGUGCAGGACGACGGCCCUAUGGGUUGUAAACUGCUUUUAUAAGGGAUAAAGUGAGUCUCGUGAGACUUUUUGCAUGUACCUUAUGAAUAAGGACCGGCUAAUUCCGU